Molecule: ribosomal RNA, 993 nt
Filed under: Edwardsiella anguillarum ET080813
Lineage: Bacteria; Pseudomonadati; Pseudomonadota; Gammaproteobacteria; Enterobacterales; Hafniaceae
Description: bacterial SSU rRNA
Rfam family: Bacterial small subunit ribosomal RNA
Source: RNAcentral
GCUUACCAUGCAGUCGAGCGGUAGCAGGGAGAAAGCUUGCUUUCUCCGCUGACGAGCGGCGGACGGGUGAGUAAUGUCUGGGGAUCUGCCUGAUGGAGGGGGAUAACUACUGGAAACGGUAGCUAAUACCGCAUAACGUCGCAAGACCAAAGUGGGGGACCUUCGGGCCUCGUGCCAUCAGAUGAACCCAGAUGGGAUUAGCUAGUAGGUGGGGUAAUGGCUCACCUAGGCGACGAUCCCUAGCUGGUCUGAGAGGAUGACCAGCCACACUGGAACUGAGACACGGUCCAGACUCCUACGGGAGGCAGCAGUGGGGAAUAUUGCACAAUGGGCGCAAGCCUGAUGCAGCCAUGCCGCGUGUAUGAAGAAGGCCUUCGGGUUGUAAAGUACUUUCAGUAGGGAGGAAGGUGUGAACGUUAAUAGCGUUCACAAUUGACGUUACCUACAGAAGAAGCACCGGCUAACUCCGUGCCAGCAGCCGCGGUAAUACGGAGGGUGCAAGCGUUAAUCGGAAUUACUGGGCGUAAAGCGCACGCAGGCGGUUUGUUAAGUUGGAUGUGAAAUCCCCGGGCUUAACCUGGGAACUGCAUCCAAGACUGGCAAGCUAGAGUCUCGUAGAGGGAGGUAGAAUUCCAGGUGUAGCGGUGAAAUGCGUAGAGAUCUGGAGGAAUACCGGUGGCGAAGGCGGCCUCCUGGACGAAGACUGACGCUCAGGUGCGAAAGCGUGGGGAGCAAACAGGAUUAGAUACCCUGGUAGUCCACGCUGUAAACGAUGUCGAUUUGGAGGUUGUGCCCUUGAGGCGUGGCUUCCGAAGCUAACGCGUUAAAUCGACCGCCUGGGGAGUACGGCCGCAAGGUUAAAACUCAAAUGAAUUGACGGGGGCCCGCACAAGCGGUGGAGCAUGUGGUUUAUUUCGAUGCAACGCGAAGAACCUUACCUACUCUUGACCUCCAGCGAAUCCUGUAGAGAUACGGGAGUGCCUUCGAGAACUC